Molecule: ribosomal RNA, 502 nt
Filed under: uncultured bacterium
Lineage: Bacteria
Description: bacterial SSU rRNA
Rfam family: Bacterial small subunit ribosomal RNA
Source: RNAcentral
CUGUGAGACAGGUGCUGCAUGGCUGUCGUCAGCUCGUGUUGUGAAAUGUUAGGUUAAGUCCCGCAACGAGCGCAACCCUUAUCCUUUGUUGCCAGCGGUCCGGCCGGGAACUCAAAGGAGACUGCCAGUGAUAAACUGGAGGAAGGUGGGGAUGACGUCAAGUCAUCAUGGCCCUUACGACCAGGGCUACACACGUGCUACAAUGGCGCAUACAAAGAGAAGCGACCUCGCGAGAGCAAGCGGACCUCAUAAAGUGCGUCGUAGUCCGGAUUGGAGUCUGCAACUCGACUCCAUGAAGUCGGAAUCGCUAGUAAUCGUGGAUCAGAAUGCCACGGUGAAUACGUUCCCGGGCCUUGUACCCACCGCCCGUCACACCAUGGGAGUGGGUUGUAAAAGAAGUAGGUAGCUUAACCUUCGGGAGGGCGCUUACCACUUUGUGAUUCAUGACUGGGGUGAAGUCGUAACAAGGUAACCGUAGGGGAACCUGCGGCUGGAUCACCUC